AUUAUCUCUGGUUAUACUGCUCUUAUACCGCCGAUCAGAUCGUCGGGAUCUAGAAAAACACCAGUAGAGAAAAGCAGAAGAUCUAGAUUGAAUGAUCUUAACUUUAUUGCAUCAACUGGUAUUUACAAAGCGCACCAACAACACUCCUCUUAAAAUUGUCGAUGUAGAAUCAACAACUAUUCUAAACUUCUAAUUUUUAAUGGUAAAUCUCGCAA
RNAcentral lists this long non-coding RNA (215 nucleotides) under Oryza brachyantha (malo sina). Its description in RNAcentral is "long non-coding RNA (OBRA_LNC002457)". The record is from RNAcentral. Lineage: Eukaryota; Viridiplantae; Streptophyta; Magnoliopsida; Poales; Poaceae.